RNAcentral lists this ribosomal RNA (684 nucleotides) under uncultured Glomeromycotina. RNAcentral's name for it is "SSU rRNA". It matches the Rfam family "Eukaryotic small subunit ribosomal RNA", at positions 427 to 1113 of the family's 1831-position model. The record is from RNAcentral. Lineage: Eukaryota; Fungi; Glomeromycota.
AGCAGGCGCGCAAAUUACCCAAUCCCGACACGGGGAGGUAGUGACAAUAAAUAACAAUACGGGGUUCUUUCGGAUCUCGUAAUUGGAAUGAGUACAAUUUAAAUCUCUUAACGAGGAACAAUUGGAGGGCAAGUCUGGUGCCAGCAGCCGCGGUAAUUCCAGCUCCAAUAGCGUAUAUUAAAGUUGUUGCAGUUAAAAAGCUCGUAGUUGAAUUUCGGGAUNGAANNGUUGGUCGUGCCUCGGUGCGCACUGGCAUUAUCGGUUCCUACCUUCUGAAGAACCGCGAUGUCAUUAAUUUGGUGUCGUGGGGAAUCAGGACUGUUACUUUGAAAAAAUUAGAGUGUUUAAAGCAAGCUUACGCUUGAAUACAUUAGCAUGGAAUAAUGAAAUAGGACGUUUGAUUCUAUUUUGUUGGUUUCUAGGAUCGACGUAAUGAUUAAUAGGGAUAGUUGGGGGCAUUAGUAUUCAAUUGUCAGAGGUGAAAUUCUUGGAUUUAUUGAAGACUAACUACUGCGAAAGCAUUUGCCAAGGAUGUUUUCAUUAAUCAAGAACGAAAGUUAGGGGAUCGAAGACGAUCAGAUACCGUCGUAGUCUUAACCAUAAACUAUGCCGACUAGGGAUCGGAUGAUGUUAAUUUUUUAAUGACUCAUUCGGCGCCUUACGGGAAACCAAAGUGUUUGGGUU